This 1952-nucleotide ribosomal RNA is filed under the name human gut metagenome. RNAcentral's name for it is "bacterial LSU rRNA". It matches the Rfam family "Bacterial large subunit ribosomal RNA", at positions 3 to 1989 of the family's 2925-position model. The record is from RNAcentral.
UCAAGCAAAAAAGAGCGCAUGGUGGAUGCCUUGGCACUGGAAGCCGAAGAAGGACGUGAUAAGCUGCGAAAAGCGGCGGGGAGAAGCAAAUAUUCUGCGAUCCGCCGAUAUCCGAAUGGGGAAACCCAUCCAUGAAAACCAUGGAUAUGUAUAAGUAAAUACAUAGCUUAUACAAGGGAACCCGGGGAACUGAAACAUCUAAGUACCCGGAGGAAGAGAAAGAAACAUCGAUUUCCUGAGUAGCGGCGAGCGAAAGGGAAAGAGCCUAAACCGAGAUGCGUGCAUUUCGGGGUAAUGGACUACAAUAAGUGAGCAAAAAGAUAGAAGAACAGGCAGGAAAGCCUGGCCGAAGAAAGUGAAAGCCUUGUAUUCGAAAUCUGAAUUGCAGCGAGUAGUAUCCGGAGUACUGCGGGACACGAGAAACCCUGCAGGAAGUCGGGGGGACCACCCCCCAAGGCUAAAUACUAACCAGUGACCGAUAGCGUAUAGUACUGUGAAGGAAAGGUGAAAAGAACCCUGGGAAGGGAGUGAAAGAGAACCUGAAACCAUGUGUUUACAAACUGUGGAAGAACUAUUAAAAGUUCAACCGCGUACUUUUUGUAGAACGGUCCGGCGAGUCACGCCGGCUGGCAAGGUUAAGGACUAAAGGUCCGGAGCCGAAGGGAAACCAAGUCUUAAUAGGGCGAAGAGUCAGUCAGCGUGGACCCGAAACCGGGUGAUCUACCCAUGUCCAGGAUGAAGCUGCCGUAAGAGGUAGUGGAGGUCCGAACACACAUCCGUUGAAAAGGGUGGUGAUGAGGUGUGGGUAGGGGAGAAAUUCCAAUCGAACCCGGAGAUAGCUGGUUCUCCUCGAAAUAGCUUUAGGGCUAGCCUUCAGUUAGUCUGCCGCAGGUAGAGCACUGAAUUUCCUAGGGGGCGUCAAAGCCUACCGAAGAAUAUCAAACUCCGAAUGGCGGACAGAUGAUGCUGGGGAGUCAGACUGCACGAGAUAAGUUGGGUGGUCAAAAGGGAAAGAGCCCAGACCUACAGCUAAGGUCCCAAAGUACGUGUUAAGUGGAAAAGGAUGUGGGAUUUCAAAGACAGCUAGGAUGUUGGCUUAGAAGCAGCCAUACAUUAAAAGAGUGCGUAAUAGCUCACUAGCCGAGAGGUCCUGCGCCGAAAAUGUCCGGGGCUAAAACACGACACCGAAGCUUAGGAAUCAGAAAUGAUUGGUAGAGGAGCAUUCUUAAAUCAUCGAAGCUGUACCGAUAAGGAGCAGUGGAGGUUUAAGAAGAGAGAAUGCCGGAAUGAGUAGCGAGAAUGAAGUGAGAAUCUUCAUGGCCGAAUAUCCAAGGUUUCCAGGGUAAAGCUGAUCUGCCCUGGGUUAGUCGGGGCCUAAGGCGAGGCUGAGAAGCGUAGCUGAUGGACAACAGGUUGAAAUUCCUGUACUACCUUAUAACAGAACUGUGGGGACACAUGUUCAGGUCGCGAGCCGGGAAAGGAAAGCCCGGCGCAAGCAGAGGUUAUCGGUGGGAGGCAAACCCCCCACAAAAGAGAAGACUGCGAUGCGGAGCGAAGAAAAGUAGCGAAGAGCGAUGAGAAUGUGUCGAGAAAAGCCGCUAUAGUUUAUAAGGUACCCGUACCGUAAACCGACACAGGUGGAUGAGGAGAGAAUCCUAAGGCCGGCGGGAGAAGCAUUGUUAAGGAACUCGGCAAAAUGACCCCGUAACUUCGGGAGAAGGGGUGCCAGGUAAAACUGGCCGCAGAGAAUAGGCUCAAGCAACUGUUUAGCAAAAACACAGGUCUAUGCGAAACCGAAAGGUGAGGUAUAUGGGCUGACGCCUGCCCGGUGCUGGAAGGUUAAGAGGAGAGGUUAGCGCAAGCGAAGCUUUGAAUUUAAGCCCCAGUAAACGGCGGCCGUAACUAUAACGGUCCUAAGGUAGCGAAAUUCCUUGUCGGGUAAGUUCCGACCC